CAAACACGUAAACAACUUUAUUGCGUUUUUCCUUGCUAGUUCUACCUUGGCCAGAUUCGUGAAAUAUUACAUUACAAUACUUUACGCAUGCAAUUGGGAUAAGGUUGCAGAGGAACAUUAAAAAAAAAAAGCCGGCUGUCCUUCAAAUGGUUCGAAAGGGAAGAUUUAUUCAUUCACUGAAGAAACGAGUCAAAUUACUCAAAAGUCAAUUGGGAAAAACAACGCCAACCUACAGAAAGAAAAAGGCCAGUUUGCAUAUCUUUCAUAAUCGAAG
Molecule: long non-coding RNA, 274 nt
Organism: Daphnia pulex (common water flea)
Lineage: Eukaryota; Metazoa; Arthropoda; Branchiopoda; Diplostraca; Daphniidae
Exons: 3
Source: RefSeq, a predicted model, not a curated record